GGGGGGGGGGGGGGGGGGGGGGGGGGGGGGGGGGGGGGGGGGGCGGGGGGGGAGGGUGCGUCGGUGAUGGUAGCGGCGGACGGGGGGGUAACACGUGGCGAACCUACCGAUGAGACUGGGGUAACGUCGGGCAAGCGGAGCUAGUACCGGAUAAUAUUUUUCACCGCAUGUUUCACAAGUGCAAGACGUUCUGGCUGUCACUUAUAGAUGGAUCCGCGCUGCAGUAGCUAGUUGGUAAGGUAACGGCUUACCAAGGCAACGAUGAAUAGCCGACCUGAGAGGGUGAUCGGCCACACUGGAACUGAGACACGGUCCAGACUCCUACGGGAGGCAGCAGUAGGGAAUCUUCCGCAAAGGGCGAAAGCAUGACGGAGCAACGCCGCGUGAGUGAUGAAGGUCUUCGGAUCGUAAAACUCUGUUAUUAGGGAAGAACAUAUGUGUAAGUAACUGUGCACAUCUUGACGGUACCUAAUCAGAAAGCCACGGCUAACUACGUG
RNAcentral lists this ribosomal RNA (497 nucleotides) under uncultured bacterium. RNAcentral's name for it is "partial 16S ribosomal RNA". It matches the Rfam family "Bacterial small subunit ribosomal RNA", at positions 38 to 507 of the family's 1533-position model. The record is from RNAcentral.